UACGUAGGGAGCAAGCGUUGUCCGGAAUCAUUGGGCGUAAAGCGCGCGUAGGCGGCCCUGUAAGUCCGUUGUGAAAGUCAAAGGCUCAACCUUUGAAAGCCGAUGGAUACUGCAGGGCUAGAGUCCGGAAGAGGCGAGUGGAAUUCCUGGUGUAGCGGUGAAAUGCGCAGAUAUCAGGAGGAACACCGAUGGCGAAGGCAGCUCGCUGGGACGGUACUGACGCUGAGGCGCGAAAGCGUGGGGGAGCAAACAGG
This 254-nucleotide ribosomal RNA is filed under the name uncultured bacterium. Its description in RNAcentral is "partial 16S ribosomal RNA". It matches the Rfam family "Bacterial small subunit ribosomal RNA", at positions 524 to 776 of the family's 1533-position model. The record is from RNAcentral.